CCUAUUUCCCCAACACCUCGGAACGGUAUAAAGGGCAGCCGCCAGUCUUGAACAGGACUGGCGGCUGCCCUUUUUUUCGAUG
RNAcentral lists this small RNA (82 nucleotides) under Paenibacillus sp. P22. Its description in RNAcentral is "ctRNA". Lineage: Bacteria; Bacillati; Bacillota; Bacilli; Caryophanales; Paenibacillaceae. The record is from RNAcentral.